RNAcentral lists this small RNA (53 nucleotides) under Arabidopsis thaliana (thale cress). RNAcentral's name for it is "ATSL077770". Lineage: Eukaryota; Viridiplantae; Streptophyta; Magnoliopsida; Brassicales; Brassicaceae. The record is from RNAcentral.
AAACCGGAGGUGUUCAAGGAGAGGAGAGAGAUAGACGAUGAGAAUAUGGCGGU